Molecule: ribosomal RNA, 397 nt
Filed under: Geobacillus stearothermophilus
Lineage: Bacteria; Bacillati; Bacillota; Bacilli; Caryophanales; Anoxybacillaceae
Description: bacterial SSU rRNA
Rfam family: Bacterial small subunit ribosomal RNA
Source: RNAcentral
GGAAUUAUUGGGCGUAAGCGCGCGCAGGUGGUUUCUUAAGUCUGAUGUGAAAGCCCACGCCUCAACCGUGGAGGGUCAUUGGAAACUGGGAGACUUGAGUGCAUAAGAGGAAAGUGGAAUUCCAUGUGUAGCGGUGAAAUGCGUAGAGAUAUGGAGGAACACCAGUGGCGAAGGCUACUUUCUGGUCUGUAACUGACACUGAGGCGCGAAAGCGUGGGGAGCAAACAGGAUUACAUACCCUGGUAGUCCACGCCGUAAACGAUGAGUGCUAAGUGUUAGAGGGUCCCCGCCCUUUAGUGCUGAAGUUAACGCAUUAACCACUCCGCCUGGGGAGUACGGCCGCAAGGAUGAAACUCAAAGGAAUUGACGGCGGCCCGCACAAGCGGUGGAGCAUGUG